Small nuclear RNA from Artibeus jamaicensis (Jamaican fruit-eating bat), 106 nucleotides. NCBI's taxonomy places the organism in Eukaryota, Metazoa, Chordata, Mammalia, Chiroptera, Phyllostomidae. The record is from RefSeq and is a predicted model, not a curated record.
GUGCUUACUUUGGCAGCACAUAUACUAAAAUUAGAAUGAUACAGAGAAUAUCAGCAUGGCCCCUGUGGAGGAUGACACUCAAAUUCAUAAAGCAGUUUGCAUUUUU